UACGUAGGGGGCAAGCGUUGUCCGGAAUCAUUGGGCGUAAAGAGCGCGUAGGCGGCCCUGUAAGUCCGCUGUGAAAGUCAAGGGCUCAACCCUUGAAUGCCGGUGGAUACUGCAGGGCUAGAGUCCGGAAGAGGCGAGUGGAAUUCCUGGUGUAGCGGUGAAAUGCGCAGAUAUCAGGAGGAACACCGAUGGCGAAGGCAGCUCGCUGGGACGGUACUGACGCUGAGACGCGAAAGCGUGGGGAGCAACAGG
This 252-nucleotide ribosomal RNA is filed under the name uncultured bacterium. RNAcentral describes it as "partial 16S ribosomal RNA". It matches the Rfam family "Bacterial small subunit ribosomal RNA", at positions 524 to 775 of the family's 1533-position model. The record is from RNAcentral.